UCUGGGAACCGGUUUGGCUGCU
Molecule: microRNA, 22 nt
Filed under: Bos taurus (domestic cattle)
Lineage: Eukaryota; Metazoa; Chordata; Mammalia; Artiodactyla; Bovidae
Description: bta-miR-2447
Source: miRBase by way of RNAcentral